This 952-nucleotide long non-coding RNA is filed under the name Ananas comosus (pineapple). Its description in RNAcentral is "long non-coding RNA (ACOM_LNC023019)". Lineage: Eukaryota; Viridiplantae; Streptophyta; Magnoliopsida; Poales; Bromeliaceae. The record is from RNAcentral.
UAUACUUAUCUAUAACUUUAAUUCUAUGAAUGAGUAUGAUCAAUUGGUUAAAAAUAUUAAAAAUGAACGAUUAUGAUCAAUCUAUUAAAAAAAGCACUUUUAUUCAUUCAUUUUACAUUAAAAUUUAAAUUUGAGUUCAAAUCGUGAAUUAAAUUAAAUUUAAAAAAUAUAGAAAAAUGUCCAAUGUAUAUCUAUAUCUAUCCUAUAUAUAAAUUUUAUAAAAUAAAAAUAUAUAUAUAAUUAUUGUUGACAACAACUAUUUAAAUUUGAGUUAGAAUAUAUAUAACAGGUAUUUUCUAAUAGUACAUAAUAAAUAAAUUUAUUUUUAAAAAAUAUUAUAAAUUUUUGAAUAAAUAUGAUGUACAAUUUCAUAUUAAUUUAAAAUAAUUAUUAAAUAAUUAAUUGUUACGUAGAUUUGUAAGUACACUCAAUUCACUCAAUUAGUAUAUAUAUAUAUAUAUAUAGAGAGAGAGAGAGAGAGAGAGAGAGAGAGAGAGUUGAGCUAGAAUACUUGUAAAAGUAUUAUGUGAGUGGUGCUUUUGAGUUUUUAGCCAUUGGAUGGAGAGAUGUGAGGUUGAGAUGAUGGUGAUAGGUGAUGGUAGGUGGAAUAGUGUUUGAUCCAAGGGCUAUUAAAUAUCAAGGAAUAGAUCCAAUGGCUAAAAACCUAAUAGCAUCAUGGGGGUAAUACUUAUAAAAGUAUUCUAGCUCAAUUUUAUAUAUAUAUAUAUAUAUAUUUUAAAAAUUUAGAUUUAAUAUAAUAUAUUUUGAAAUAUUGAAAAAAGAAAUAAUUGUUUCGGGUUCAAAUUUUCGGAUUCGGUUUCGGGUUCGAGUUCGGGUCUCAGGUUUGGAGUCGGGUUCGGGUUCAGAUUUUUUAAAAUCCGACCCGUUGACAUCUCUAAGUGUAGUAGUACGAAAGAAUGAGAUCUUUCAUAUCAUGCAUGAUCACAUAGAU